GCGGCAGUAGAUCAGUGGUAGAGCCCUCGUUUCAAAUGAGGGGAGACCUGGGUUCGAUCCCCGGCUGCUUCC
This 72-nucleotide transfer RNA is filed under the name Toxocara canis (dog roundworm). It matches the Rfam family "tRNA". Rfam says of the family: Transfer RNA (tRNA) molecules are approximately 80 nucleotides in length. Their secondary structure includes four short double-helical elements and three loops (D, anti-codon, and T loops). The record is from Rfam by way of RNAcentral. Lineage: Eukaryota; Metazoa; Nematoda; Chromadorea; Rhabditida; Toxocaridae.